RNAcentral lists this long non-coding RNA (4997 nucleotides) under Glycine max (soybean). RNAcentral's name for it is "long non-coding RNA (GMAX_LNC004624)". Lineage: Eukaryota; Viridiplantae; Streptophyta; Magnoliopsida; Fabales; Fabaceae. The record is from RNAcentral.
AAAAAUCUAGCUAAACGAAGAAAAUCAUUCCAAUACACAUGGCUUCCGAAAGAGAGGUGAAGCUGAAGGCACCUCGAUGAGUACGCACGCUUUAGUAGCUGUCACCCAAAGAGAACAGUUUGUAAUUAAUGUUGAUUCAGAGGAAAUGGUAAAUACCAUAUUUUUGUAUCAGACCAAAUAAAUAACAAACAACUGAGCUCAGUAGUAGAAGAAGAUAAGGGAAGGAAUCAUUCAUCAAGUUUGGCAACAAAAGACACCACCGUUUCACAGAUACGCAAAUCUGCAAGACAUGGGAUGGUACUUGCUAUUUUCGCUUUCGACCCAGUUACCAAAUCACUAACCCAUCUCCCAGGAUCAUUCUUUUUUUUUCCCCUUAAACCUCGUUUCACCACUAGCACUUAAACAAAAAGACAAAAAAAACCGUAAUAAAUUAACGUUGUAUGUAAAUUGCAACAGAGAUAUUUUUAUUUUUUAAUCUUCAACUAGAGUCCAUCCUACUCAAGUCAUGCUAUUGAUUAUGUUAAAGUAAUGUAUUUUGGAUGAUAAUAUAAAGAAAAUGAAGAAGUGAAUACAUACACGAACCAAAGAGCCUCGAAAGGCGGCUUGAAUCUUGACGGCAGCCCAUUCUUCUUGAGACCUCUAUAGGAAUUGAAAACCACAUAUUGCAUCAAAUAAAUCUCUUCCCCGUAACCAUCCAUAACCAUGACUACAAAUUCCAACUUUGUGCAAGUGUUAGUUACUAUUUAUGAAUUAGUUUGAUAUUAAAAAUUUGUAAAGAAAUAACAAUAUGUCUUCAAUUUAUGAUUUUUUUUUUGUAAAAAUUGUAUAUAUUUUAUUUCUUGUGUGAUUUUAUAGAGUAGAAAUUUUAUUUUUGUAACCUGAUGUUAAAUCCAACUCAAUUUGUAAAUCAAAGAAGAGAAGGUGUAAAAAAUUGUUGAUGACUCACUUAGCGAGGCAUAUUGACUAAGUGAGACUCGUCCACUUAACGAGGCAUCCAGCUUGCUUAGCGGAUGAGAAAUCCUAUAAGAGGAUAAGUCGGAGAUCUACACGCUUAACGCACAGCUAGUCCGUCCAGUAAGGACGCUGUCUUUUCUCGCGCUUAGCGGAAUUUCACUUAUUCUCGCUUAGCAAUACAUGUUCGUUGAGCAAGCCUUUGGAAGCUGAAAAGUUCAAGAGCCUUUAAAACACUAAGGUUGGAGGAACUCAAGAGACAUAACCGAUCAAGAGCCACAAGGAGUGCCUAGCUUCGUAGAAAACAGAGAAAUUUAGGGUUGAGAGACUGGAGAAAACAUUCUCUAUCAUCUUCUUCCAAUUUCUUUCACCAAAAAAUAGUUUCUUGCUUGUAUUUUGAAGUUUUGCUUGUAAUGGAAUGCUAGAGCCUCUUUGUUGGGGAGUAACUAUUGAAACUCUUGAUGUAAUACUCUUAUUAUCUAUUUAAUGUUAUUUUCUAGUGUUCUUUGCUUUUAUUUGUGCUUAUUGUAUAUGCUUGUGGCUUGAUCAUCCACUUGUAUGUGUAGUUGGGCUUUUUAGUAUUGAAAAAUGCCUUAAAACCUUAGAACUUGAUAGAGUAAGCUAAAAAUCAGUAUGUCUAGGAAUGAAGUGCAAUGAUCUAGUGCAUUUUACACGGUAUGCGAGUUUGUUGAGGAAUCAAGAACAAAAACUAAGAGAGUUAGACUCAUUCAUGUGAGGAAUCAUGGUCUGAGUAUUUUCUCAGUGUAAGAACACUAGAAUAACGUUAAAUAAAGAAAAACUCUUUUAUACAGCAAGAUAAAUUUCAGUAGGAAACUUCCCAACGCGUUUAUCUUGAUAGUUGUCACAUUUUAUAGCUUUGGGUAUUUUGUUUUUGUUCAAGUAGUUCACUAGUAAAGAAACUUGAUUCACCAUUCAAUAUUUAGUUUAUUUCAAGCUUUAAAAGUGUUUACAUAUUGAAUAUACAUAGUCUAGGUAAAACAAACUCUCUGUGAAUACGAUACCCGAUCUUACCGUUUUAUACUACUUGUGCAAAUCAGUACACUUGUCGAUGGACGAACAAGUUUUUGGCGUCGUUGUCAGAAAAUUUCUAUCCAUUUAGAUAGUAUAUUUCAGUUUGGAAACAUUCACUCUUUAUUCUUUGAUUGUUUCUUGUGAAUAGUUAGAAUUCAAAUUUUAUCUCUUGACUUGGUUAACUGUUGCUUUAUUUAGUUGCUUCUUGUAUCCGAGAUAAAACUUCAACAGAGGAUUUAGUUCCAUUAAAUUUGGAGAUUGAAGUUACUUGCAAGAGAAACAACACAAAAAAGGAGAAGAAAAUCUUUAGAAGAGAGGACAAUCAAUCCAAACAUAGAGAGAAUUCUAUCAUCUGAAUCUUCGUCAUCAUUUCCAACAAAUUUAAAGAAAUCCGAAGUUGGUACAUUUGAAACUCACAUCAUGACGGAUGAGCAAAUAAAUACAUAGGAUUACUCUUGAAAACUAUCCAUGAAGAUGGUUACUUGAAUGCAUUAUAGUUGUCAGGAAUAAAGAGAAUACCCAUGUUCAUAUUGAUGAUAUGAAUCGACACAAUGAAUCUAACCAGAGACCAACGUGCCAACUGUCACACAUUGCAUCCUAUACAUUCUUGCUAUUUUAAAUAUUGAAUAAUGCGAAUCCUGUGAAGUAUAUAGAAUGCCAUCUGGAAAUAUUUCCCUCCUCUCUAUAUAGUAAAUAAGAAUUAAUUAAUAAAUCAUUAUAUUUGGGAUACUCACUAUUUGUAAUACAUGAAAAGGCUCUAGAGAUAAAGUUCAACAAAUCUGACCCCGUUAAAAUUCCAUGAAGAUUUCCUUCAGUUCCACCAGUUGUGACAUAUCCCCAAUACUCACCCUUAUCUAUCUCCCAUAGGUUAGCAAACCAAUCAAGCACGCAAACUUCAAAUUUUGAUGAAUUUAAAUUAUAGCUACUCCCUAUAAAUGGAUCACAAGCAUUGUUUAGGUUAGAAUGACAUAAUGGUGCCAGUGCAUCAUAGCCGAAGUCUUGAUUAGUGGGGUAACCUGUUUUGGCGCGGCAUAUAAGUUAUUAGUGAAGCUGUUUUUUUUAUAAGCUACUGCAUUAGUGAAGCUCUUGAAACUAUCUAUCUAUCUAUCUAUAUAUAUAUAUAUAUAUGUCACGUUCUUCUUUAGGUCCAUUCUUUCUGUGUUUAACAUGUAUCGAAAGUGAUACAUUUUUUUAGUAAAACAAUAUAAAUUACCAAAUAAAAUUAAUUGGAAAAAUGAAAUUAUGAAAAAAAAUGCAUCAUAGUUGAAGUCCUGAAUAUAUUUAUAGUUCCUAAACAUUGUUUCAGGGCAUGAUUGGGAAUCCCAUUAUGAAAAAAAAAUACAUGUUUGGAGAGAGAAAAAUUAUAUUUUUAGUCCUUAACAAACAGUAAAAACAAAUUAUCUACAUAUAUAUUAUAGGAAAAAAAUAGAUACUAAAAAAACAAAAAUAAAAUAAUAAUGAUAAAAAAUAUAAAGAUCAAAAAUUAAAAUAACUAUAUUUUAAGGAACAAACAUAUUUAAAUCAACAAAAUAUGUUUUUGCAUUGAAUUAAACUCUAUUUCAAUUAUAAAAAAAAACUAAUUAAGCACACGCUUAAAAGAAAAUUAAAACACAAAAAUUUACCCAAGAAGCGCAAGUUGUGCUGAUCUAGAGUCUCGAAGUAUUGAGUAAUAUAUUAAAAACGCUUUUUCUACAUCAGUCAAAAUGAGAAUUCAAAUAUGGUGAUUAACUGUUUUUUAUUGUAACGUACAUUGUUGAAACUAAAAUUUUUUAACAUCGGUAAUAAAGUAGGCAUUGAUGUAGUAACAUAAAUUUUCUACAACGGUUGUGGCGUAGACACCAAUAUAGUAAGAUGGAUUUAUGUGAUGUAAAAAGAUAUUUAAAAUUUCAGGUUAAUUAAUAGAAAUUAUUUAUAAUGAUAAAAUUAUGUAUAUUGCAAAAUUGCAAAAUUAUCUAUAAAUAAAAUUAUAUAAUAUUAAAAAAAAUAAAACCUGAGAAUGAGUAAUAAAAAUUAUCUAUAUUACUAAUAAUGAUAUACUAUUAUUAAUAAUAUUAUGUAUAUUACUAAUAAUCAAUAAAUAUAAUGAUAUAAUAUUAAAUUAAUUAACUAAAACCUAACGGAGAUGAGUAAUAAAAAUUAUCUAUAUUACUAUUAAUAAAAAAUAUAAUUAUAUAAUAUUAAAUUAAGUAAAACAACCUAAGUAUCAAUGAUAUAAUUAUGAACGAUAAAAAUGAAUCUGUUUUUUGUUUGAAUUUUUUUAAUGUGCAGCUAAGUCAUUAAGGCUUAGUGGUAUUUCUUUAGCCCAACAGACAAGGAAAAAUCCAAAUGGAUUGAGGCCGAACAGGACUACAGGAUACUGGUUCAUUGAGGUAAUAAUUAAUAAUAAAAAGUUGCUUAUGACUUAUGAGACCUUAUGGAAGAAUACCCCCACAAUUACCCAUUUUAUUUUUGAAUUAAAAUAGUAGCUAGCAAUUACAAAUGAGUAAACCUACUUUGAAUCAGAAUACCCCACAAUUAGCUAAAGAUUGGCCCGUUCCAGGAUACACACUCUUUCAUGAUGUUGUUGAAUAUUUUUAACUGGCUUACAGAUUGACCCUUCAUUUAUGUGUCAAAUUUCAAUCUUCAAUAAAAUCAAAACAUAUAUAACAAGUAAAAGAAACACUGCAUGACCCUUCAUUUUGGUUGAAAGAACUAGUUUGUUACCAUUGAAAGAAUACUCAAUACACUACAAAAAAAGGCACUAAUUUAAAUUCUAUACCUGUAUUUGAUUAUUUCCAUUGAUUGGGGUUGUUCCUUUAAGAAGCUCAAAUAAUAUUGCACCAACACAUAGUCACCAUCAAUGUAGGAGAAAUAACAUGCACUACUCAUGUCAAGUUUCAAGAGUUAAAAUGGGUUUAGAACCCUAAAUCAUUGGAGGUGAUGUAGGGCAAGUAUAAGAACCAAUGUACCUCGUAUUAUAUGCUUGUUAGUUGAAGCCCACGACGGCAGUAUGGUGGAGGGUAGGUUUCUAAAAC